CCUACGGUGGGCAGCAGUGGGGAAUAUUGCACAAUGGGGGGAACCCUGAUGCAGCAACGCCGCGUGGGUGAAGAAGUACUCCGGUAUGUAAAGCCCUGUCAGCAGGGAAGAAAAUGACGGUACCUGACCAAGAAGCCCCGGCUAACUACGUGCCAGCAGCCGCGGUAAUACGUAGGGGGCAAGCGUUAUCCGGAUUCACUGGGUGUAAAGGGAGCGUAGACGGCCAAGCAAGCCAGGGGUGAAAGCCCGGGGCCCAACCCCGGGACUGCCCUUGGAACUGCAUGGCUGGAGUGCGGGAGGGGCAGGCGGAAUUCCUGGUGUAGCGGUGAAAUGCGUAGAUAUCAGGAGGAACACCGGCGGCGAAGGCGGCCUGCUGGACCGCGACUGACGUUGAGGCUCGAAAGCGUGGGGAGCGAACAGGAUUAGAUACCCCAGUAGUC
This 440-nucleotide ribosomal RNA is filed under the name uncultured bacterium. RNAcentral's name for it is "partial 16S ribosomal RNA". It matches the Rfam family "Bacterial small subunit ribosomal RNA", at positions 338 to 795 of the family's 1533-position model. The record is from RNAcentral.